RNAcentral lists this ribosomal RNA (513 nucleotides) under uncultured bacterium. RNAcentral's name for it is "partial 16S ribosomal RNA". It matches the Rfam family "Bacterial small subunit ribosomal RNA", at positions 28 to 507 of the family's 1533-position model. The record is from RNAcentral.
GACGAACGCUGGCGGCGUGCUUAACACAUGCAAGUCGAACGAGAGCGUAGAGAAAGCUUGCUUUUUCUACAAUCUAGUGGCAAACGGGUGAGUAACGCGUAAACAACCUGCCCUACGGAUGGGGACAACAGCUGGAAACGGCUGCUAAUACCGAAUACGUUCCGAAAGUCGCAUGACUAUCGGAAGAAAGGAUGGCCUCUAUUUAUAAGCUAUCGCCGGAGGAGGGGUUUGCGUCUGAUUAGCUAGUUGGAGGGGUAACGGCCCACCAAGGCGACGAUCAGUAGCCGGUCUGAGAGGAUGAACGGCCACAUUGGAACUGAGACACGGUCCAGACUCCUACGGGAGGCAGCAGUGGGGAAUCUUCCGCAAUGGGCGAAAGCCUGACGGAGCAACGCCGCGGGAGUGAAGACGGCCUUCGGGUUGUAAAGCUCUGUUAUACGGGACGAAUAAUCUUGUGGUUAAUACCCAUGAGAAGUGACGGUACCGUAAGAGAAAGCCACGGCUAACUACGUG